UGCCCACGCUUUCUCGAGAGCCCGCGUUAGCAAUAUUAGUUGAACGUGAUUAAGAUAUAAACAGUGCAUGAAUGUUCUCACAAUUCAGGUCAUUAAUUAAUUAGCUUGGUAUUCGGUAUCCAACUUUUUGAACAGCUGAUAGGUUAGCUAAAUUCUGCAUAAUAAAUUAACAACUAAACGGUCUGCAAAGGAAAGGAAA
Molecule: long non-coding RNA, 199 nt
Filed under: Phoenix dactylifera (date palm)
Lineage: Eukaryota; Viridiplantae; Streptophyta; Magnoliopsida; Arecales; Arecaceae
Description: long non-coding RNA (PDAC_LNC006005)
Source: RNAcentral